CCAAUAGCGUAUAUUAAAGUUGUUGCAGUUAAAAAGCUCGUAGUUGAACUUCGGGGUCUACCCAUUGGUCAGGCUUAAUUGUCUGCACUGGUGAGAUGGAUCUCUACCUUCUGAGGAACUUUCAUGCCAUUUAUUUAGUGUGAUUGGAAAUCAGGACUGUUACUUUGAAAAAAUUAGAGUGUUUAAAGCAGACUAUCGUCUGAAUACAUUAGCAUGGAAUAAUGAAAUAGGACGGACUGAUUCUAUUUCGUUGGUUUCUAGGAUCACCGUAAUGAUUAAUAGGGAUAGUUGGGGGCAUUAGUAUUCAAUUGUCAGAGGUGAAAUUCUUGGAUUUAUUGAAGACUAACUACUGCGAAAGCAUUUGCCAAGGAUGUUUUCAUUAAUCAAGAACGAAAGUUAGGGGAUCGAAGACGAUCAGAUACCGUCGUAGUCUUAACCAUAAACUAUGCCGACUAGGGAUCGGAUGAAGUUAUUAAAAAUGACGCGUUCGGCACCUUACG
RNAcentral lists this unclassified non-coding RNA (500 nucleotides) under uncultured Diversispora. RNAcentral's name for it is "SSU rRNA". It matches the Rfam family "Eukaryotic small subunit ribosomal RNA", at positions 591 to 1092 of the family's 1831-position model. Lineage: Eukaryota; Fungi; Glomeromycota; Glomeromycetes; Diversisporales; Diversisporaceae. The record is from RNAcentral.